AGAGUUUGAUCAUGGCUCAGAAUCAACGCUGGCGGCGUGCCUAACACAUGCAAGUCGAACGAGAAAGGGUAGCAAUACCUGAGUACAGUGGCGCACGGGUGAGUAACACGUGAUUUAUCUACCCUCGAGCGGGGAAUAACUUAGGGAAACCUGAGCUAAUACCGCAUAAUACCUACGGGUCAAAGGAGUAAUCCACUUGAGGAGGAGAUCGCGGCCGAUUAGCUAGUUGGCGGGGUAAUGGCCCACCAAGGCAAUGAUCGGUAUCCGGCCUGAGAGGGCGCACGGACACACUGGAACUGAAACACGGUCCAGACUCCUACGGGAGGCAGCAGUGGGGAAUUUUGCGCAAUGGGGGAAACCCUGACGCAGCAACGCCGCGUGGAGGAUGAAAUCCCUUGGGAUGUAAACUCCUUUCGAUCGGGACGAUUAUGACGGUACCGGAAGAAGAAGCCCCGGCUAACUUCGUGCCAGCAGCCGCGGUAAUACGAGGGGGGCAAGCGUUGUUCGGAAUUAUUGGGCGUAAAGGGUGUGUAGGCGGUUUGGUAAGUCGUGUGUGAAAUCUUCGGGCUCAACUCGAAGUCUGCACACGAAACUGCCGGGCUUGAGUAUGGGAGAGGUGAGUGGAAUUCCUGGUGUAGCGGUGAAAUGCGUAGAUAUCAGGAGGAACACCUGUGGCGAAAGCGGCUCACUGGACCAUUACUGACGCUGAAACACGAAAGCUAGGGGAGCAAACAGGAUUAGAUACCCUAGUAGUCC
RNAcentral lists this ribosomal RNA (756 nucleotides) under uncultured bacterium. Its description in RNAcentral is "bacterial SSU rRNA". It matches the Rfam family "Bacterial small subunit ribosomal RNA", at positions 8 to 796 of the family's 1533-position model. The record is from RNAcentral.